AGACUCCUACGGGAGGCAGCAGUGGGGAAUAUUGCACAAUGGGCGAAAGCCUGAUGCAGCAAUACCGCGUGUGUGAAGAAGGCCUGAGGGUUGUAAAGCACUUUCAAUUGUGAGGAAAAGCUUUUGGUUAAUAACCUUGAGUCUUGACGUUAGCAAUACAAGAAGCACCGGCUAACUCCGUGCCAGCAGCCGCGGUAAUACGGAGGGUGCAAGCGUUAAUCGGAAUUACUGGGCGUAAAGAGUACGUAGGUGGUCUAUUAAGUCAGAUGUGAAAGCCCCGGGCUUAACCUGGGAACUGCAUUUGAAACUGAUAAACUCGAGUAUGGUAGAGGGGGGUAGAAUUUCUAGUGUAGCGGUGAAAUGCGUAGAUAUUAAAAGGAAUACCAGUGGCGAAGGCGGCCCCCUGGACCAAUACUGACACUGAGUACGAAAGCGUGGGUAGCGAACAGGAUUAGAUACCCUGGUAGUCCACGCCGUAACGAUGCUAACUAGCCCUUUGGGGGCCAUUGGGGCCUCCCAGUGGUGGAGCUAACCGCGUGAGUGAACCGCCUGGGGGGUACGGCCGCCAAGGCUAAAACUCCAUAGAAUUGACGGGGGCCGCACAAGCGG
Molecule: ribosomal RNA, 609 nt
Filed under: uncultured bacterium
Lineage: Bacteria
Description: bacterial SSU rRNA
Rfam family: Bacterial small subunit ribosomal RNA
Source: RNAcentral